UACGAAGGGUGCAAGCGUUACUCGGAAUUACUGGGCGUAAAGCGCGCGUAGGCGGUUUGUUAAGUCCGGUGUGAAAGCCCUGGGCUCAACCUGGGAAUUGCAGUGGAUACUGGCAAGCUAGAGUGCGGUAGAGGAUGGUGGAAUUCCCGGUGUAGCGGUGAAAUGCGUAGAGAUCGGGAGGAACACCCGUGGCGAAGGCGGCCAGCUGGACCAGCACUGACGCUGAGGCACGAAAGCGUGGGGAGCAAACAGG
RNAcentral lists this ribosomal RNA (253 nucleotides) under uncultured bacterium. RNAcentral's name for it is "partial 16S ribosomal RNA". It matches the Rfam family "Bacterial small subunit ribosomal RNA", at positions 524 to 776 of the family's 1533-position model. The record is from RNAcentral.